This is a long non-coding RNA of Dendronephthya gigantea, 171 nucleotides long. RefSeq lists it as uncharacterized. The transcript is spliced from 3 exons. Lineage: Eukaryota; Metazoa; Cnidaria; Anthozoa; Malacalcyonacea; Nephtheidae. The record is from RefSeq and is a predicted model, not a curated record.
UUACUUCCUAAGACUAAUAUCUUUCAUUUUAGAGCAUAUUUGGUUGGUUUUUCGAACAUUGAAAAACCGUCCAUUUUGACACAAAAGAGCAUAUUUGGUUGGUUUUUCGAACAUUGAAAAACCGUCCAUUUUGACACAAAAGAGCAUAUUUGGUUGGUUUUUGGAACAUUG